This 746-nucleotide ribosomal RNA is filed under the name uncultured Glomerales. RNAcentral describes it as "LSU rRNA". It matches the Rfam family "Eukaryotic large subunit ribosomal RNA", at positions 38 to 633 of the family's 3401-position model. The record is from RNAcentral. Lineage: Eukaryota; Fungi; Glomeromycota; Glomeromycetes; Glomerales; Glomeraceae.
GCAUAUCAAUAAGCGGAGGAAAAGAAAAUAACAAUGAUUCCNUUAGUGACGGCGAGUGAAGGGGGAUAAGCUCAAAUUUUAAAUCUAUCAGGUUAACCUGGUCGAGUUGUAAUUUGAAGAAGCGUUUUCCGCGUUCGGGUCGGCCCAAAUCCUUUGGGAUAAGGUAUCAUGGAGGGUGAGAAUCCCGUUCGGCUGACCUUAGGAUGCUUUACGAUACGCUCUCAAAGAGUCGAGUUGUUUGGGAUUGCAGCUCAAAAUGGGAGGUAAAUUUCUCCUAAGGCUAAAUACCGGCGAGAGACCGAUAGCGAACAAGUACCGUGAGGGAAAGAUGAAAAGAACUUUGAAAAGAGAGUUAAAUAGUACGUGAAAUUGUUGAAAGGGAAACGAUUGAAGUCAGUCGUACCGGCGGGAAAUCAGCUUUUCGAGUGGGGGUUCGCGGGUGCGUGGAGCUUCGGCCUUCGUCGCUUGUGACACCUUUUGCUUCUGGAGCGUACUUUUCCGUGUGGUAGGUCAACAUCGGUUUCGAUUGCCAUAAAAUGACCGGAGGAAUGUGGCUUCGAUCUUGUAUUGGAGUGUUAUAGCCUCUGGUAGAUGUGGUGGUUGGGAUCGAGGAUUGCAACGAAUACCCUUUGGGCUAUCCGCCUGACCUCUGAAAGUCGCUUGGGUACCGAAAGCUUGCUUACGGUCAUUCAAGUUGGCGGUCAAAAGGUUAGAACGUGAUUAAAUUCGUUAAGGAUGUUGACGUA